AGCACUCUGACAGAAACACCAUUCUUAAUUCAGUACAAAUGGGAAACCUGAUGUUGGUAAAAAUUCAGGAGAAGAAUGAGAAAAUAAUAUAUAGAAAUAGGAAACUGUUUUUAGAAAAGCAUAUAUAGGGUAUUAUUAGAGAGAUUUGGGUAAGUCAGUUCAUAGCGUAGAAUCAUUAAGGUUGGAAAAGACUGCUAAGAUCAUCCAGUCUAACCAUCAGCCCAUCCCCAUCAUGACCACUAAGCAUGUCCCCACUAAUCUAAACUCUUCUUGAAUGCCUCCAGGAAUGAUGACUCUACCGCCUCCCUAGGCAGCCAUUUCCAAUACCUCCCACUCUAAGAAGGAUUUUUUCCUAAUAUCCAACCUCAGUCUAUCAACCAAAUCUCUGUGCGCCAAGGGGUACCUUUAAGGUUUCGAAUUACUGAAAUUAAACUAAGCUAUUCCUGAUUUAUAGCAGUGUAAACAAGAGGAAUUCAGCCCUGCUGAAGAUGUCUGACCUGAAAAACAUUAUGCAUUUUUCCAAUGCAGCUGUCUGAGUCAUUUUCCUUAUACUGUGUAAUACCUUAUUGUACCAACAGGCAGAGAGCUGCAUCUUAUAUAAUCAUCUCAUCUGAAUUCUAUAAGAUUUCCAACAGGGAGACUGAAUGAGCAGAGCAAGCCAAAAGAUAUGUAAUUAAAACUGA
This 683-nucleotide long non-coding RNA is filed under the name Coturnix japonica (Japanese quail). RNAcentral describes it as "lncRNA (ENSCJPG00005003343.1)". Lineage: Eukaryota; Metazoa; Chordata; Aves; Galliformes; Phasianidae. The record is from RNAcentral.